RNAcentral lists this long non-coding RNA (2823 nucleotides) under Triticum aestivum (bread wheat). RNAcentral's name for it is "long non-coding RNA (TAES_LNC008566)". The record is from RNAcentral. Lineage: Eukaryota; Viridiplantae; Streptophyta; Magnoliopsida; Poales; Poaceae.
UAUCAUGCAAUCUCAUAGACACAAAGCUCACUCCGGCCUUUAUGAAAAAUAAAUACCUGCAAUUAGUUUGCUUACGAAGUGAGAGGCUCCAAAACACAUUAUCAAACAUUGCACAUGUCUUUUUUAUAGGCCGUACUGCCAAAUCAAGCACACAAAUACAAGAGACCUUUGAAAAGUAACAACUAUACGUCAACAAAAUUUUGAUCUAGCCCCCUGCCACACCACCAGUAAAAGGUUAAGCUUUAAGAAAUGUCAAAUGCUGCUCUAUCUGUUCUUAAGGAGAUCAUUUAAGUUCAGCCUUGAUUGGAGUUAUAUCGUUAGCCACCUCAAUUUUUUUCUCAAGCCAAAAACACCAUCUUCUGCUCCAAGGUGAAUAAAUGUCAAAUGCUCCUACAUCUGUUCGUAAGCAGACAUUUGAGGUUCAGUCUUGAUUGGAGUUAUAUCGUCUGCCACGCCAAUUUUUUCUCAAGCCAAAACACAUCAUCUUCUGCUCGAAGGUGAACUUGAUGUUUUCAGCUUGUUCAAAGUGAGGAAAAAACACUUAAAUCCAUGUGAACCUUGGUAACAGGGUUAAAAGCUGCAUAAAUGUAGUUGUAUAAUUUUCAGCCUUUCAGAACCCAUGCUGCUCCCCUUCAUAAGCAACAAAACACAUCACACACAAAAAAAACUGUACCAUAUUUUCACCAGGCAAACUUCAUUCAUGCAAGUGACUGGAAACACACAAAAAAAUGUGGUUGAAGAGGAAAGUUCCCUUCCUUAUGGGUACGUUGUUAGGUACAAAUGAUGCACCCUUGUGGGUCAAACAUGGGUAAACGAGCUUACAACCAUGCGAUCGAGCCAACAAAUCGCCACUCGUUUACCUAGAAGCAACAAAAGUUUCAGAAAAUUUCAAGUGAUUGGAGCCAUGUGGAUCAAACACAGGUGGGCGAGCUUACAACCGGCAUUCUAGGUUCCCAAGUGUUGUGCUUGUACAAGUCCGGUCUAAUUAGGUUCUGAAAAUCAUUAAGUUCCGAUAGGAUCGUCCGUUGAUUUUUGUGUGUGCAUGUAAAUCAUAUAAAUAGUCACCCCGCAAAAAAAAUAAAGCAUACAAAUAGUCAAAACAACUGCAUUGCAUUGAAAUGAACAAUCGGUAAUAUUAAGUAGAAAUAUGUCAGGCCUAAAUUUCAUGAAAGAAACUCUGACGAAAUUUAGGACAGUAAAAAAAUGCACCAUCAGGAAAAAUGGAAAUGGAUCCUACAUUCUUUCAAAAUAGAUAUGUUAGUUAUUUAGUUCACAAUGUCCUGAACAAAUUUUAGGAGAACACAGAAGGACAGAAAAUAGUAUCCUAUCUACUUGUUUCACCUAAGAUGGCAUACUUGUAUAUAACACUAAAAUGGAAGCUACGGUUAGCUCCUCUUAUGACUCAAAAUAUCUUAAGAUUCAUGAGUCAUCAGAGAGGAUGAAACCAUGACCAUUAUAUUAGUUUCUGUUUUCAAGUUCAUAUGUGCCUGUUACUGCUUUUAAAAAACAAUUCGACGUGCUACCAACUGAUAAAACCUUUAGCUUAAUUAGCAUCGAUUGUAGUACAAGUAAACAGUUACUUACCCAGAUUAACACAUAAACUUUGAACGGACAAAAGUACCAAACUGAAUAAAUUGAAAGUUAAACAAAUUUUCACAUGGAGGCUGGAAAAUAUGCCAUUCUCAGAUCUUGAUGAAAACCAAAGAAUUGGUAUUCACCAUAUUUAUCAUAUAUAAGAACUGAUCGGAUACUACAAAAUAAGAUUUGAUCUGCUCACCUUGGGGCAGCAAUCUCCACAACACAUACGCAUAAGGAAGAACACAGGGAGAUCUACCCUAACAUGAUCUUGAAUAUUUUGUGCUGCUGGAGUAGAGAGGGUGAGCGAAGAGUGGCCGGGGAGGAAGCAUAUAUACACGCAUCAGUUGGAAACUGAAGUGUGCAAACGAGAGGUCGCCCCGAGACAUGAAUGCCUGAUUCAAAACUGAAGUAUGAUUGUGUUAAUCAAGGCUGGGUGGAGCAGUUUCCACGAGAUAAUGCGCCAUAAUCGCCCGAGUCCCCCACACCUCCAUACCUUGCAGGCGGAUCGGCCGACGGCUGGAUCGACCGGUCCUCGGUUCACCCGCAUCAGGCGUUUCUGCUUGAUCCCCUCACGCUAGAUUCGCUCGUGAGUGAAUCGUAGGCUGGAUUCGCUCGCGCGUCGGCACGGUCCCACCGUAGGUCGCCUGCUUUGCCUGAAUCGAGCGGCCGCCGCAUCCGCUCUCGUUCGACCGCUCGUCGCAUCCUCUCAACCGCCCUUGAUUCGUUCUUGUGUGGAGCGAGUUUUUUUCUUUUACGGAAAGGGGAGCGCUUGUAGGAGAGGGCCUUCGCUGCGUUGGGCCGAGCAGGAAAAGAUGGCCCAAUUAACAACAUGGAUUCAAAAUAGCUACGGGAGUAGAUGCCCUUGCGGCGAUAGGCCCAGUUCGCAGCCAACAUGGUGUUAACUUUAGAUCGGACGGCCAGGACGUUUAACAAACGAAAUCAAACGGACAGAAAUGCCUAAUUCGUGAGAGGGCAGGGAUUAGGGUCAGUUUUACUGUUCUUAAUGAGGAACAAACCAUGGCAUGAUUCUUGAAUGGCCUCAACCAUCCUAUCAAGAAGAGUGCCGACUUCCAACCUUAUUCCAACCUCCUCGAGCUAGUGCACCAAGCUACCAAGGCGGAGCGACAAGUGCAAGCUGAUUACAAAUACACCAAGUACUCUUCCAAGACCUACGAUUCAUACAACCAAGCUUCAACGACUAUGACGCCUUCUACCUCGACGAAAUCUACACUAAGCAAUGGCGAC